AUGUUAAGACCUAAGGAAAGUGAAGUAGUUGACUCUGUAUGUUUUGGUGUGGGAGCGAAGAAUAGGAAGGACAAAAGCUUCAUAAAGGAUGAAGCCUCCAUAUCUGUUACUGGCAGUGCAAUUGCAUGGAGGACUCGUCAGGGGACUUAGAAGGGAAAGAAUCAGGAUUGGCAUAAACUGGUCUCAGCUGAAGGGUAGGUGAUUUCAAACCCUCUCACAUCUCUUUUUGUCUCUUUCUCCAAGUUGGGGGUCUAGCAUUAUUUCCUCCCAGUAGCUAAAUGCUGCCAUAAUGGCAUUCUUUUUCUUUGCCAAGCUAACUUGUUGCUCUAUCCCUGGUGAAGGAAUCUACCCUGCCUCCCAAACUGUUAUGGACAUUUUAGACAAAUGGACACUUUAGAAGGGCUGAGGACUCUGAAAUAAUUGAAGGUUGUGCCUUGGUCCAGACAAAGAAACAGCCAGUUUUCUCCAGCCUCCUUUGUUAAUGUUCAAAUCCAUGAUGGAAUAUGCACUUUUGAGAGCAUAUGUACUAAAAAAUGUUGGGAAAGAUUAUUUUUUAACACUGGAACUUGAGUCUUUGUGAAUGCUUGGAAAGAGGUCUUUUCCUAACCUGCAUCUUGAGAUGAAGAAACUGCAAUCCCCAGAGGCUUUGUUUCCUCUCUUCUCUAGAAAGCUAUGGAACCAUGGGUGCAGAUGAAGGAGACCUGGUGGCUGUAUUUGGGACCAUACAAGGAAACUGAAGCUCAUAGGCUGAGUGAACAGAUUGUUUUGGGGUAGGUAAUACAUGAUUUUUCCUUCUGAAAGAUUAGUGUGAGAGCCAGGAUUCCCUUGGAAUAAAAGAUGAGUUAGCUAUUAUCAAAGCUUAGUACAUUCCCCCAACUGUCUACCACUUCUCUUACCCUUCAUCUCCAUCCAUUCCUUCCACAAAUUCCUAUUUUUUGAUAGAUACUGUGCUGAGAUAUGAUGAUACAAGCAGUCUUUGCCUCCAGGGCGCUUCCAGUUUUGUAGAGGACCCAGUGCACAAACAAUACAGGGAGGCAAGUGCUAUGGUGUAAGUGUGGACAAAUCCAGGAGGAUUCAGAAGGUGUUUUGACUCAAAGGAGGAAAUGCUUAUUUCUGUUUUUCUCCUUCUCUAAAGGAGAGCAAGGAAGGGUUUCAGAGAGGAAGAAACUCUUAGAGUGGAGCCUGAAGGAUAAAGGCUAUGCUUUUCCCAUUCUCUUGUGAGAUCAGAAGGUAAUAAAAUUCUGCCCUCAUAACCCAUUUGGCAAACAGUUAUUCAAGUUUCUCCUCAUUUUCUCCUUGCCUCUUGGUUAUUUCAUUGCUCUUUAGUGCUGCCAUUUAAGGGAUAAGUAGAAGUGAGAUUUAUUUAUGUUGCUUUUGCUCAGAAGUGAGGGAAAACAAACUGAUGGAGGAAAGAUUUAAAAAAUAUAACAUAAAAUUUUUAUUAAGCCAGAAUUGCUUUGCUUAAUUGAUUUUUAUUAAUCAAAAAUUAUUUCCUAAUUUUUAUACUGGUGAAAUAUUACAGCUUUGCAAAUAUUAAUAAAUCAAAAGUGAAAACCCC
RNAcentral lists this long non-coding RNA (1558 nucleotides) under Canis lupus familiaris (dog). Its description in RNAcentral is "lncRNA (ENSCAFG00000056199.1, ENSCAFG00805011921.1)". The record is from RNAcentral. Lineage: Eukaryota; Metazoa; Chordata; Mammalia; Carnivora; Canidae.